This is a non-coding RNA of Mycena latifolia, 93 nucleotides long. The record is from the annotation of a GenBank genome assembly. NCBI's taxonomy places the organism in Eukaryota, Fungi, Basidiomycota, Agaricomycetes, Agaricales, Mycenaceae.
GACCUAAUGGCGAAACAGUAUCGCGUCCACACUUCAUAAAUAACCAUGGUCCAUGUUUCGUGGAAGCCCCCGGUUCGAGUCCGGGUUAGGUCG